Molecule: ribosomal RNA, 374 nt
Filed under: uncultured bacterium
Lineage: Bacteria
Description: bacterial SSU rRNA
Rfam family: Bacterial small subunit ribosomal RNA
Source: RNAcentral
UAAUACGGAGGUGGCAAGCGUUGUUCGGAAUUACUGGGUGUAGAGAGCGUGUAGGCGUUCUGACAAGUCAAUGGUGAAAUCCCCCGGCUUAACCGAGGAACUGCCUUUGAAACUGUUAGAAUUGAGUUUGGGAAGGGAGAGCGGAAUUUCCGGUGUAAGGGUGAAAUCUGUAGAUAUCGGGAAGAACACCUGUGGCGAAGGCGGCUCUCUGGUCCAAAACUGACGCUGAGACGCGAAAGCUAGGGGAGCGAACAGGAUUAGAUACCCUGGUAGUCUUAGCCGUAAACGAUGGGCACUAGGUGUCGGUUGGUAAACAGUCGGUGCUUCAGUUAACACAUUAAGUGCCCCACCUGGGGAGUACGUCGGCAACGAUG